AUUUAGGUAGUUUAAAAAAAAUACNGAUUUGUGGUGUCGGAGUUGUUAAAAAUUUAUAACCUUAGAUU
RNAcentral lists this transfer RNA (68 nucleotides) under Macropanesthia mackerrasae. RNAcentral's name for it is "tRNA-His". Lineage: Eukaryota; Metazoa; Arthropoda; Insecta; Blattodea; Blaberidae. The record is from RNAcentral.